AUCUUUGCGCUUGGGGCAAUGAUGUAAUUAGUGAGGUACUGACCGAGGCGCGUCUAUUGCUGGUUGAAAACUAUUUCCAAAGUCCCUCUCUGGCCCGGGCUUCGUCCCCGGCCAUUGAGAAUUUCUAGAAGGGCUCCCUCCCCCGAGUAAGGCC
Small nuclear RNA from Rhodamnia argentea, 154 nucleotides. RefSeq annotates it as U4 spliceosomal RNA. The record is from RefSeq and is a predicted model, not a curated record. The transcript has a single exon. Lineage: Eukaryota; Viridiplantae; Streptophyta; Magnoliopsida; Myrtales; Myrtaceae.